RNAcentral lists this ribosomal RNA (642 nucleotides) under uncultured bacterium. Its description in RNAcentral is "bacterial SSU rRNA". It matches the Rfam family "Bacterial small subunit ribosomal RNA", at positions 8 to 649 of the family's 1533-position model. The record is from RNAcentral.
AGAGUUUGAUUAUGGCUCAGGAUGAACGCUGGCGGCGUGCCUAACACAUGCAAGUCGAACGGGCACGGCGUGCGGCAGGGGCCUCGGCCCCUGCGGCGCCGCGCGAGUGGCGGACGGGUGAGUAACGCGUGGGCAACCUGCCCUGUACUGGGGGAUAACACCUGGAAACAGGUGCUAAUACCGCAUAAGCGCGCUGUGCCGCAUGGCGCGGCGCGGAAAACCCCGGUGGUACAGGAUGGGCCCGCGUCUGAUUAGCUGGUUGGCAGGGUAACGGCCUACCAAGGCGACGAUCAGUAGCCGGCCUGAGAGGGUGGACGGCCACACUGGGACUGAGACACGGCCCAGACUCCUACGGGAGGCAGCAGUGGGGGAUAUUGCACAAUGGGGGGAACCCUGAUGCAGCGACGCCGCGUGGGUGAAGGAGCGUUUCGGCGCGUAAAGCCCUAUCGGCAGGGAAGAAGAUGACGGUACCUGACCAAGAAGCCCCGGCUAACUACGUGCCAGCAGCCGCGGUAAUACGUAGGGGGCAAGCGUUAUCCGGAUUUACUGGGUGUAAAGGGGGCGCAGACGGCAAUGCAAGCCAGGAGUGAAAGCCCGGGGCCCAACCCCGGGACUGCUCUUGGAACUGCAUGGCUGGAGUAC